GAAGCUGGAGUUGCUAGUAAUCGCGAAUCAGCAUGUCGCGGUGAAUACGUUCCCGGGCCCUUGUACACACCGCCCGUCACACCAUGAGAGUUGGCAAUACCCAACGUACGUGAUCUAACCCGCAAGGGAGGAAGCGUCCUAAGGUAGGGUCAGCGAUUGGGGUGAAGUCGUAACAAGGUAGC
RNAcentral lists this ribosomal RNA (182 nucleotides) under uncultured bacterium. RNAcentral describes it as "partial 16S ribosomal RNA". It matches the Rfam family "Bacterial small subunit ribosomal RNA", at positions 1322 to 1500 of the family's 1533-position model. The record is from RNAcentral.